This 433-nucleotide ribosomal RNA is filed under the name uncultured bacterium. RNAcentral describes it as "partial 16S ribosomal RNA". It matches the Rfam family "Bacterial small subunit ribosomal RNA", at positions 28 to 507 of the family's 1533-position model. The record is from RNAcentral.
GACGAACGCUGGCGGCAUGCCUAACACAUGCAAGUCGAACGAGAAGUCCGGGUCUUUUGGCGCACGUCGGUGGAAGGCGGGGGGAGCUGCACUUGGGUUCGGAAUACCUCUCCGAAAGGGGUCCUAAUACCAGAGAAGGUCUUCGGACCAAAGAUUUCUUGCCUUGGGGUGGGCCCUCGUUAGAUUCGAUAGUUGGUAGGGUAAAAGCCUAAUAAGGGGCGGAUGCAUAGCUGGUUUGGUAGGAUGAUCCGCCACGCUAGGACUAAGACACGGCCCCGACUCCUACGGGAGGGAGCAGAGGGGUAUAGUGGAGGAUGGGGGAAAGUCUGAUCCAGCAGUGUCGCGGAAGUGAUGAAGGGCGUAGGGAUGUAAUGCUCUUUUACCCGGGAUGAUAGUGACGGUACCGGGAGAAUAAGCUCCGGCUAACUACGUG